Molecule: ribosomal RNA, 424 nt
Filed under: uncultured bacterium
Lineage: Bacteria
Description: bacterial SSU rRNA
Rfam family: Bacterial small subunit ribosomal RNA
Source: RNAcentral
UGGGGAAUAUUGGACAAUGGGCGCAAGCCUGAUCCAGCCAUGCCGCGUGAGUGAUGACGGCCUUAGGGUUGUAAAGCUCUUUCGCUAGGGACGAUAAUGACGGUACCUAGACAAGAAGCCCCGGCUAACUUCGUGCCAGCAGCCGCGGUAAUACGAAGGGGGCUAGCGUUGUUCGGAAUUACUGGGCGUAAAGCGCGUGUAGGCGGGCGUUUAAGUCAGGGGUGAAAUGCCAAGGCUCAACCUUGGAACUGCCUUUGAUACUGGAUGUCUUGAGUCCGGGAGAGGUGAGUGGAACUGCGAGUGUAGAGGUGAAAUUCGUAGAUAUUCGCAAGAACACCAGUGGCGAAGGCGGCUCACUGGCCCGGAACUGACGCUGAGACGCGAAAGCGUGGGGAGCAAACAGGAUUAGAUACCCCCGUAGUCC